RNAcentral lists this ribosomal RNA (510 nucleotides) under uncultured bacterium. RNAcentral describes it as "bacterial SSU rRNA". It matches the Rfam family "Bacterial small subunit ribosomal RNA", at positions 34 to 518 of the family's 1533-position model. The record is from RNAcentral.
CGCUGGCGGCGUGCCUAAUACAUGCAAGUCGAACGGUCUUUCUAUGGAAGCUUGCUUCCACUGAGAAGAUAGUGGCGAACGGGUGAGUAACACGUGGGUAACCUGCCCAUAAGAGGGGGAUAACAUCCGGAAACGGGUGCUAAUACCGCAUAGUUUUCUUGAUCGCAUGAUUGAGAAAGGAAAGACGGCCUUUGUGCUGUCGCUUAUGGAUGGACCCGCGGCGUAUUAGUUAGUUGGUGAGGUAAUGGCUCACCAAGACGAUGAUACGUAGCCGACCUGAGAGGGUGAUCGGCCACAUUGGGACUGAGACACGGCCCAAACUCCUACGGGAGGCAGCAGUAGGGAAUCUUCCGCAUGGACGAAAGUCUGACGGAGCAACGCCGCGUGAGUGAAAGAAGGUUUUCGGAUCGUAAAACUCUGUUGUCAGAGAAGAACAAGUUGGAGAGUAACUGCUCCAGCCUUGACGGUAUCUGACCAGAAAGCCACGGCUAACUACGUGCCAGCCGCCGC